Molecule: non-coding RNA, 73 nt
Organism: Cynara cardunculus var. scolymus (artichoke)
Lineage: Eukaryota; Viridiplantae; Streptophyta; Magnoliopsida; Asterales; Asteraceae
Source: the annotation of a RefSeq genome assembly
GUUGCUGUGGUGUAGUGGUUAUCACGUUUGUCUUACACACAAAAGGUCCCCAGUUCGAUCCUGGGCAGCAGCA